RNAcentral lists this RNase P RNA (400 nucleotides) under Desulfococcaceae bacterium HSG7. RNAcentral describes it as "RNase P RNA component class A". It matches the Rfam family "Bacterial RNase P class A". From Rfam's summary of the family: Ribonuclease P (RNase P) is a ubiquitous endoribonuclease, found in archaea, bacteria and eukarya as well as chloroplasts and mitochondria. Its best characterised activity is the generation of mature 5'-ends of tRNAs by cleaving the 5'-leader elements of precursor-tRNAs. Lineage: Bacteria; Pseudomonadati; Thermodesulfobacteriota; Desulfobacteria; Desulfobacterales; Desulfococcaceae. The record is from RNAcentral.
CAGAGUAGUCAAGACGGUCGUCCGGUCUGUUUUUAAGAUCGGGAGGAAAGUCCGAACACCAUAGGGCAGGGUGCUCCGUAACACGGAGUCGCGGCAACGUGAAGGACAGUGCAACAGAAAGAAUACCGCCCUGCACUCAACCUUAAUUUAUAGGUUGAUAAUGCAGGGUAAGGGUGAAAAGGUGCGGUAAGAGCGCACCAGUUCUUCGGGUGACCGGAGAAGCUUUGUAAACCCCACCCGGUGCAAGACCAAAUAGAGGAACAGUUAAGGGCCGCCCGUCCGUGUUCCCGGGUAGGUCGCAAGAGGCGUCGGGCAAUCGACGUCCCAGAUGAAUGAUCGUCAUCCGGUGCGAGAUGACUUUUACCGGAUACAAAAUUCGGCUUAUUGACUGGUCUGACCG